AGCUACCCCAGUUAGCACUCCGCCCUGGCGAGUACGGUCGCGAGGACUGAACUUCAAAGGAAUAGACGGGGGCCGGCACAUUCGGUGGAGCAUGUGGCUUAAUACGAAGCAACGCGAAGAACUUACCCAGGUCUUGACAUCCCGUUGACCCUGUAUAGAUAUAGUUUCCCCUUCCGGGGGCAACGGUGACAGGUGGUGCAUGGUUGUCGUCAGCUACGAGUCGUGAGAUGUUGGGUUAAGUCCCGCAACGAGCGCGACCCUUGAUCUUAGUUGCCAUCAUUUAGUUGGGCACUCUAAGGUGACUGCCGGUGACAAACCGGAGGAAGGUGGGGAUGACGUCAAAUCAUCAUGCCCCUUAUGACCUGGGCUACACACGUGCUACAAUGGACGAUACAAACGGUUGCCAACUCGCGAGAGGGAGCUAAUCCGAUAAAGUCGUUCUCAGUUCGGAUUGUAGGCUGCAACUCGCCUACAUGAAGCCGGAAUCGCUAGUAAUCGCGGAUCAGCAUGCCGCGGUGAAUACGUACCCGGUACCUGUACACACCGCCCGUCACACCACGAGAGUUGUAACACCCGAUUCUAGAGU
Molecule: ribosomal RNA, 586 nt
Filed under: Lysinibacillus fusiformis
Lineage: Bacteria; Bacillati; Bacillota; Bacilli; Caryophanales; Bacillaceae
Description: bacterial SSU rRNA
Rfam family: Bacterial small subunit ribosomal RNA
Source: RNAcentral